GGCCCCUUCGUCUAGUGGCCUAGGACGCCGCCCUUUCACGGCGGAAACACGGGUUCGAGUCCCGUAGGGGUCACCA
This 76-nucleotide transfer RNA is filed under the name Erythrobacter sp. Its description in RNAcentral is "tRNA-Glu". It matches the Rfam family "tRNA". From Rfam's summary of the family: Transfer RNA (tRNA) molecules are approximately 80 nucleotides in length. Lineage: Bacteria; Pseudomonadati; Pseudomonadota; Alphaproteobacteria; Sphingomonadales; Erythrobacteraceae. The record is from RNAcentral.